This is a long non-coding RNA of Pseudopipra pipra, 1127 nucleotides long. RefSeq lists it as uncharacterized. Lineage: Eukaryota; Metazoa; Chordata; Aves; Passeriformes; Pipridae. The record is from RefSeq and is a predicted model, not a curated record. The transcript is spliced from 3 exons.
UUGUGCCUUAUAGCACAAGAAAAACAAAGGCUGUAACAUCCCUCUUGUUAAGCCUCUGCUUGUUCCAGCUUCUUGCUUUCUCCUAACUUGUUUUGCCUUCCUCAGGACAAAAUUUUCUUCUCCUUACACCAUGUAAGAAAUCCUCUGCCUCAUCCUCAACGAGGACCACAUCCAAAGAGAAUCCAGCCCAACCAUGCAGUUGGACCUCCCCACUGGCACCAGAAUAAUCUCCCUGAAUCAGAGACAGAACUGGACCUCAGCUGCUCUUUACAGCUCGAACCUGCUGCUCCUGCUCUGGCAAGGACUGCCAUGACUGAGGAUCUCCAUCACUUCUGCCUCUCUUCCUGGUCCAGCCCUGCACCCAUAGACCUGCUGCAGAGCAAAAGCCAUUGCUUUCUGGCACUAAGCUGCUUCCUGAAGAUUGCACAGCAAGACAGAUCAGCUUCGAGGGGAGCUGAUCCAGGAGAGGACAUGGGGCCAAAAGAGCCUGAGGAGUCUGAAGAUGCAGCUUUAUCAGCUUAGCAAAAGGGCUGGUGCAUCGAAUGGCAAAGGCUGCAGGCCCUGUGUGCUUGAGGUCUGUGACAGAAGGCUCUGCACUAUUCCCACCACAGCCCAGACGCCCAUGGAAGGAUUAUUCCCCCAGCACCUCCCAACCCCCUGGUGCCAGCAGUCCCCCUGGAAUCCAUGCCUCUUUAUAAGGGGACACGAGGGAAUCUGUGGUGAGCAUCCUUACCCUCACCUCCUGCCUCUCCAAGCCCUUCCUGUUGCUGGCACUUCCACCCUCAGCAGCGGCUGCGCAGGAUCACGUCCCAGAGAGUCUGGCACGUCGUGUCGGGUGCAGAGGCAGGAGCUGGCGGGUGUGAUGUGACGUGAUGUGCCAGGCAAGCCCUGCCACGGAGCAGCCUGUGAGUGUGCAUCCCCUCAGAGCACCCCUGACCCACGUUGCUCCAGCUGAGGCUGAUGUCACCCCGUGAGCCGUGGCAUAUGGUGCUGGUCACGGGCUGGGGAUGAUUACUACAGCGAGUCUGGGGCACACUGGCUCGGGGCACUGGGUAACUCAUCUGUUCGGGUUAAAGACACUGAUUUGAGCAGCAGCUCCUCUCUGUCGUUUCUUUGUUAACUCUUUU